GUGAGGAAUAUUGGUCAAUGGGCGGGAGCCUGAACCAGCCAAGUCGCGUGAAGGAAGAAGGAUCUAUGGUUCGUAAACUUCUUUUGCAGGGGAAUAAAGUGCGGGACGUGUCCUGUUUUGUAUGUACCCUGAGAAUAAGGAUCGGCUAACUCCGUGCCAGCAGCCGCGGUAAUACGGAGGAUCCGAGCGUUAUCCGGAUUUAUUGGGUUUAAAGGGUGCGUAGGUGGUUUGAUAAGUCAGCGUUGAAAGUUUGCAGCUUAACUGUAAAAAUGCCGUUGAAACUGUCGGACUUGAGUGUAAAUGAGGUAGGCGGAAUGCGUGGUGUAGCGGUGAAAUGCAUAGAUAUCACGCAGAACUCCGAUUGCGAAGGCAGCUUACUAAGCUACAACUGACACUGAAGCACGAAAGCGUGGGGAUCAAACAGGAUUAGAAACCCGGGUAGUCC
This 445-nucleotide ribosomal RNA is filed under the name uncultured bacterium. Its description in RNAcentral is "partial 16S ribosomal RNA". It matches the Rfam family "Bacterial small subunit ribosomal RNA", at positions 354 to 796 of the family's 1533-position model. The record is from RNAcentral.